This 11037-nucleotide long non-coding RNA is filed under the name Homo sapiens (human). RNAcentral's name for it is "HSALNT0347599". Lineage: Eukaryota; Metazoa; Chordata; Mammalia; Primates; Hominidae. The record is from RNAcentral.
GUGGUGUACUGGAGCCAGGCCCUUUCUGCCUAAGCAGGACACUCAAAGAGGCAGUCUUUGCCCUGCAGCCCUCCACUGGCCCAGCCAACACUCUCUCAGAGCUUAGACAUCUGCUUCUCAGAGCACCCAAACUGACAGGGUGUAUCCAGUAUAUUUGAUUCUGAAGCUAGAGAGACCCAGCUGGCCAUACACAUUGGGGAAUCAUUGACAGAUGGCAGCUGAGAUCUGAGAGCGGUUGACCUCACUUCACAAGGUUGAGUGGAAUUAGGAGGGACAAACUUCUGUGACAGGAGCCUGAGGAGCACCAAACAGUGGUUGGACUGAAAUCCAGUAUGAAUCAUAUAAGAGAGAUUUAGAAGCACGUGAAGAUAAAUGUUUCCCAUGUGACACAGAGCAGCACAUCUGGAAGCUCUUACUCAUUGUGCUGGGAAUUGCUUUCAAGUCCUGUGACUCCAGGGAGAACCCAGCCCAUUUCACAGGAUGUUUAAUGUGUGCUCACAAAUAGAUUCCAUCAGCUCUCCUACGGCACCCAGGAGGUCAGCUGCCCCAUGGAGGAAGCAAGAUUUGUGUGCAUUAGAAAUAAAUGAACUGUUGGAGAUAGGAUCUUCUUUGUUGACAAAACAAGUCUUGAAGAUAAGAGAUCAAGGCUUCUAGUUAAAUGGAGCAGUGACCUUAUCAGAAAUCUCAAAGCAGAAAAGUCUGUCAGAAAAACAGCAUCAGAUCAAGGAAACCAAGUACAUGGAGCUAAUUUUUGACUCUAAAGAAAGGCAAGAUUAUUUAAUAAUAAUGAUAAUGGCACAGUUUGUUAACUAUGUGAAGAAAAUCAAAUAUAGCUUUAUCUCCAUUAUACAACCAAAUAUAUUCUACAUGGAUUAAAAUAUUAAAUGUAAAAGUUAAUCAAACCAAUAAGUCAAAAAAGAAAAAAAUAGAAAAAAUAUCCAUAAAAAUUUAUUGAAUUACAAAAUGGUCAUAAAAUAUAUUAGUUCAAAACAAUGGAAUAAUUCAUAAAGGAUGACUAUUAUAGAGAUUUUCCCGUAGAGAGUUCUAAAAUUUAUGUGACUCAAAAAAUGCCUUAUAUAAAACUAAUAUCAAAUAAAAAUUUUCAGAAAAUAUUUGCUUGCAUAAGGCAAAAGAGCUAAUAACCUUAAUGUAUAAAAGUUCCUUCAAACUAAGUACCAUCUCAGAAGAAAAAAAAUCUCAAAGUGGUAAUCAAAUAAUAAAAAUUGUAAUACCAGGUCUCGAUGACUUAGCUAGGUGUGGUGGUGCACACGCCUGUCGUCCCAGCUACUCGGGAGACUGAGGCAGAAGAAUCACUUGAACCCAGGAGGUGGAGUUUGCAGUGAGCCAAGAUCACGCCACUGCACUCCAGCCUGGGGACAGAGCGAGACUCUGUCAAAAAACAAAACAAAACAAAAUAAAACUUCCCUUAAUUCUGCAACAUUUCUGAUUAGACCAAGUAGCAUCAGGAAAGAUACAGAAGAACUUUCCCUCCUCCAACAGCUAAGUUCAACUAAAUUUCUGGACACUGUAUAUAUUUUAACCUCCCCCACCUAAAAUAAAAGAAAAAAAAGAGAAGACUUUGCAGUAUGGAGAAAAGGUAGACAAGCCAGGGACCUUGGUCUCAAAGAACAACAUGGUGGUGGGUUUCCUGGGUUUUCUUUUCCAUCAUAUAUCUCAGACUUGGAGAUGAAAAAUCAGCAAUCCAGAAACAACAUUGGAUGGAGAAAAAGCUGCAAUGAAAGAUUGCCAUCUCUAGCAAAGGAGCAGAAAAGGGGCAGACUAUCAAGGCAGAAAACUUUCAGGCUGUAACUGCUCUACUCCAACCACAUCCAGAAAACAAAACUAAACAAACAAACAAAAAAAACUUGUGGCCUCAUUUUCACUCAUGCUAACAAAGCCCAAGUGGGGAGUCUAAACUGCCACCCUCACAAAGCUGUAAAUAGGUGCCCGCAAUACCCCUACAGGAGUGGUGUCAGAGGACAUGGAAAAGGGAGCCAAAACUUUCAUUUCUGUUAGCCAGUAACAAGAGUCUACUGCAGUGUAAAUGGAGACCAUAUGGGGAACUUGGACUUUCAUGCUACCUGGCAGUGACGAGGCAGCCCUUCUUUCCCUGAUGGAAUGGCAUCAGAGGAUCCCAGUGGGAAGUGAGGACAUUCACUACCACUAAUUAGUAACAAGGCCACCACCACUAUGGUGUCAAUAGAGAUCACAUGGAGAGGCAGCACAAAUAUCUAUGCCCAGUAGUUAUUAAGACCUGCUUCUCUCAGCAGAGUCAGGUGUCAGUGGAGGAGAAGUGAAGGAUCUGGAAGUGAAUUCUACCUUCCAGUAGAAAGCUGUGUUGAGCCACUUUUCCCCCUUUCAAAGCAGUGCCUAAAAAAGCAGCUGGAGGAUAAAGUUUGAAUAAGAUCCAAAGACUCUUAACGUAAUAUGAAUGUGACCAGGUUUCAAUCAAAAAUUGCUUGUCAUACAAAUAACAAGGAAAAUUUCAAAAAGGAUAAAAAGUAAAUUCAUUAUAUGCCAAUAGUGAGAAGGCAGAGCUAUUAAAAUAAUCUGACAGAGAUUGUAGAGCAACUGUGGUAAAAAUACUUCAACAAUCAAAACAUGCUUGAAACAAAUUUAAAAAACAGAGUUUCAGCACAGAUAUAUAAGACACAAAGAAGAACCACUGGACAUUUUAGAACAGAAAAAUGUAAUAACUUAAGUGAAAGCUUAAUGGAUGAUAUCAACAGCAGAAUAGAAGAGACAGAAGAAGAAAACAGGUAGCUUUAAGAUAGAAGAAGAAAAAUCACAUAAUCUAAACAACAGAGAGGAUAAAGGAAAAGAAAAUGAACAGAGCCUCCAAGAUCUGUGGACUAUAACAAAAUAUCUAGCAAAGACCUGGAAGAAGAGAAAUAGAGUGGGUCUAAAAAUGUGCUCCAAGUACACAUGGUCACAAAGAUGAGAACAAUAGACACUGAGGACUACUUGGAGGGGGAGACUGGGAGGAGAGUGAGGGUCAUAAAACUACCGAUUGGGUAUCUUGCUCACUGCCUGGAUGAUGGAAUCAUUUGUACACCAAACCCCAGUACUACACUGCCCAUGUAACAAACCUGCACAUAUACACCCUGAAUCUAAAAUAAAAGUUGAAUAAAUACAUAAAUAUAUAAAAAAUAAAAAUGUACACCAAAAAAUAGCAUCUAAAAUCUACCAAUUUCAUUAGAGACAUAAACCUACAGAAUAUGAAUAAAUAUGAAUGAACCCUAAACAGGGUAAUCACAAAGAUAUUCACACCAAGUUCCCUUGUAAUUAAACAUCUGAGAACUAGAAACAAAGAAAAAAUUUUGAAAGCAAUCAGAGAAAAGACACUUGACCAAUACGAGAAAAGCAAUUAAAAUGACAGAUUUCUCAUCAGAAACCACAGAGGAGAGAUGGAAGUGGCACGAUAUUUUUCAGGUGUCAAAAGAAAAGAGCUCUCAACCUAGGCUGACAAUCCUCUACCCAGGAUGAAAUCCUAGUUUCACAAUUGCAUUAGUCCAUUCUCACAUUGCUAUAAAGAACUACCUGAGACUGGGUAAUUUAUGAAGAAAAGAGCUUUAAUUGGCUCAUAGUUCUGCAGGCUGUACAGGAGGUGUGACUCAGGAGGCCUCAGUAAACUUAGGAUCAAAGCAGAAGGCGAAGGGGAAGCAGACACAUCUUCAUAUGGCAGAACAGGAGAGAAAAAGAGUGAAGGGGAACGUGCCACACACUUUUAAACAACCAGAUCUUGUUAGAACUCUAUCACAAGACAGCACUGGGGGAUGGUGCGAAACCAUUGGAAACCACCCCCAUGAUUCAAUCACCUCCCACCAGGGCCCUCCUCCAACACUGCGGAUUACAAUUCAACAUGAGAUUUGGGUGGGAGACAGAAACAAACCAUAUCAACAAUCCUAUACCCUGAAUAUUCAAUCCUAUAACCAAAGUGAAAGGGAAAUCAUAAUAUUCUUAAGCUGAAGAAAAAGUAAGAUAAUUUACUAUCCUAUCCAAAAAGUAUACCUAAAGAAAGUUCUCUAAACAGAAGGAAAACAAAAGAAAGACACCAGGAAAGGAAGAAAACAGAAAAAAAUAAGGUAAAUAAAAUGGGAUUUCCUUCUCCUUUGGGGUUUUCUAAAUUAUGUUUGAUCGUUAAGUCAAAAUUAUAACACUGAUUUUAUUCUAAAUUUAUGUAGAGAUAAUAUUUAGAACUAUUAUUAUAUAAACAUGGGACAGUAAAGGGGCAUAGAAAAGAGGUAAGGAUUAUAUAUUUCACUUCAACUGAAAAAAAAUGACAUCAGCACCUUGUAAUAAGUUUAUGUAUAGAAAAUUGUAUAUUCAGGCGUACCCAUUUUACCGCACUUCGCUUUAUGGUGCUUUGCAGAUAUGAUGUUUUUUACAAAUUGGAGGUUUGUGGCAACUCUGCAUUACGCACAUCUAUGGGUGCUGUUUUCUUAACAGCAUGUGCUCACUUAGUGUCUUUGUAUCAGCACUUUUUAGCAAUAAAGUGUUUUGUAACUGAGGUAUGUACAUGUUUUUAGAAAUAUGCUAUUGCACACUUCAUAGUAUGGUAUAAAUAUAACUUUUACAUGUGCUGGGAAAUCAGAAAUUUGUGUAACUCACUUUAUUGCCAUAUUUGCUUUAUUGUGGUGGUCUGGAACUCAACCUGCAAUAUCUCUGAGAUAUGUUUGUAUAAUGUAAUACCUAUAGUGAAACAAGUUAUAUGAAAGAUACAUUCAAAACACUAUAGGUAAAUCCAAAUGAAAUUAUAGUGACCAGCCUGGGCAGCAUGGUGAAACUCUGUCUCUACUAAAAAUAGAAAAAUUAGCUGAGCAUGGUGGCACAUGCCUGUAAUCCCAGCUACUCGGGAGACUGAGGCAUUAUUGCUUGAAUCCCUGAGGCAGAGGUUGCAAUGAGCCGAGAUCGCACCACUGCACUCUAACCUGGGUGACAGAGCAAGAUUGUAUCUCCAAAAAAAAAAAAAAAAAAAUUAUAAAAAAUGUUCAAUUAACCCACAGCAGGAUAGGAAAAAAGAAGAUAUUGAAAGGAAAAGUAGGGAGCAGAAAUAAAGCCUAAAAUAAAAUGCAGAUCUAAAUACUAGCACAUCGAUAACUAAUUAAAUGCAGAUGUUCUAAAAUCACUAAUUAAAAAAGAGUGGCAAAUGGAUUUUAAAAUCAUGACAAUUACAGAAUAUUAAAAACUCUUCAAAUAUAAUGAUACAGGCAGGCUGAAAUUAAAAGAGUAGUAGAAAAAUAUAAAAUUCAGUCAUGAAUCAGACAAAAAUAGAAAUGACUAAAUUAAUUCCAGUAAAGUAGAUUUUGUAGCAAAGAAAUUACCAGAGAGAGAGAGGAAUAGUGUAUAAUGACAAAAGUGUCAGUCCACCACAAAGACAUUGCAAUGGUAGAUGGAGCAUGCACCAAGUAAUGUAAUUGAAAACAUGUGAAGCAAAAACUGAAAUAAAGAAAAAGAGACACAGACAUAUCCACAAUGAUGGAUAAAGACUUCAUACUUCUCUCAACAAUCGAUAGAAAAACUAGACAUAAAAUCAACAUGGAGAUAAGAACCCAACAAUACCAUCAACCAACAGAAUCUAAAUAACAUUUAUAAAAAUUCCACUCAACAUCAGCAGAAUACACAUUAUUUUCAAAUGUCCAUGGAACAAGUACCAAAAUCAGCCAUAUUCUGGGCCAUAAGACAGACCUCAACAAAUAGAAAAGAUUUGAGAUCAUGCAGAGAAUGUCUUCCAAACAUAAUGGUAUCAAAUUAGAAAUCACUAAUAGAAAUAAAACCAAAAAUAUCUCUUCACACUUGGCAACAAGACAACCUAUUACUAAAUAAUCCAUGAGUCAAAAAGGAAUUAUCAAGAGAAAGAAAAAAAUACAUCAAAUUGAAUGAAAGUUAAAACAUGUCAAAAUGUGUAGAACACAGUGAAAGCCAUGCUGAGAGGAAAAAUUAUAGCACUAAGUGCAUACAUUAGAAAAGAGUUUGAAAAGGCUCAAAACAAUAAUGUGAGCUUUCACCUCAAAAACCUAGUAAGUGACUAAAAAAUAAACCCAAAACAUUAUAAGUCAUUAGAGAAUUGCAAAUUAAAACAACAAUGAAAUACCAUUAUGCAAGCAUUAGAAUGAAUAAAAAUCCAAAAACUGACAAUACUAAAUGCUGUUAAGGAUGUGGAACAAUAGGAACUCUCCUUCAUUGCUAGCAGUAAUGCAAAAUUGUACAGCUAAUUUAGGAGAUCAUUUGGUGGUUUCAUAUGAAACUAAACAUAGUCUUACCACACAACCCAGCAAUUGCCUACUUAGAUAAUUAUCCUGAUGAGUUGAAAACUUAUGUCCACAUAAAAACUUGCGUAUGAAUGUUUACAUCAGUUUUAUUCUUAAUCACCAGAAUCUGAAAGCUAACCAAAAUAUUUUUUAGUAGAUGAAUAAACUCUAGUACAUCCAUAAAAUUGAAUAUAAUUGUAGAUAAUAUUAAUGAACUAUAUAAUAAAAAUUAUAUAAUAAGUAAUGAAUUACAAAGCCAUGAAAAGACAUGAAGGAAUAUUAUGUACAUAUUGCCAAGUUUAAAAAGCCAAUGUGAAAUGAAAAGGCUACAUAUUAUAUAAUUCCAACUGCAUGACAAUCUUGAAAAAAGCAAAACUAUGGAGACCUUAAAAAGAUCUGUGGUUUCCAGAAGUUGAGGUGGGGUAUCAGGGAGGACAGGAGGGAUAAAUAGAUGGAACAUAUGAGAUUUUUAGGAUGAUGAAACUGUGCUGUGUGGUGGAUAUAAGGCAUGCAUUAGUCAAAACCUAUAGAAGAGUACCACACAAAAAAAGUAAACCUUAAUAUAAACUACCAACUUCACUUAAUAAUAAUGUAAUAGUAUUGGCUCAUUAAUUGUAACAAAUGCAUCAUUCUAUACUAUGCAAAAUGUUAAUAGAGGAAAUUAUAUGGGAGUGGGGGAGUAUUAUCUGCACAAUAUUUUUGCUCUAAAAUGUUGAGGUAGAUUUGUACCUGAUUUGUUGAGAGGUUUUAUCAUGAAGGGAUGUCAAAUUUUGUCAAAUCCUUCUUCUGGCUUAUUGAGAUGGUCAUAUGAUUUUUACUCUUUAUUCUAUUAAUACGUUACAUUUAUGAUUUGCAUACAUUAAACCAUUCUUGCAUCCUUGGGAUCGAUCUUACUUGUUCAUGGUGAAUAAUCUUUUUAAUGUGCUAUUGACUUUUGUUUGCUAGUGUUUUGUUGAGUAUUUUUGCAUCUAUGUUCAUUAGCAAUAUUAGCCUGUUUUUUUCUUUUUUAUUGAAAGCUUUCCCUCUAAGAUUUGGAAGAAGACAAGGAUGCCCAUUUUCACAACUCCUUGACAUAGUAGUGAAAGUCCUUUCUACAGCAAUUAGGCAAAAGAAAGAAAUAAAAUACAUCCAAAUAGGAAAGGAGGAGGAAGUCAAAUUGUCCCUAUUUGCAGAUGACAUAAUCUUACACAUAGAAUACUCUAAAGACUCCACCAAAAACCUGUUAGAACUAAUAAACAAAUACAGUAAAAAUGCAGGAUAUAAGAUUGAUAUAAAAAAUCAGUGGUGUUUUUAUACACCAAUGGUGAACUAUCUGAGAAAGAAAAGAAGAAAGUAAUUCCAUUUACAGUUGCUACAAAUAAAUAAAUACCUAUGAAUAAAUCUAACCAGGGAGGUAAAAUACCUCUACAAUGAAAACUGUAAAACUGAUUAAAUGAGUUAAAGGGGAUAAAAAUUAAUGGAAAGAUAUUUGAUGCUCAUGAAUUGGAAGGAUUAAUAUUAUUAAAUGUUCAUACUGCUUAAGACAAUCUACAGAUUCAAUACAGUCCUUAUCAAAAAUUCCAGUGUCAUUCUUCACAGAAAUAAAAAAGAACAAUCCUAAAAUUUGUAUGAAAUAAAAAAAGACCCCAAAUAGCCAAAACAAUCUUGAGCAAAAAGAACAAAGCUGUAGGCAUUACACUACCCAAUUUUAAAAUCAAAUCUAUAGUAACCAAAACAGCAUGAUAUUGGCAUAAAAAUACAUACACAGAUCAAUGGUACAAAAUAGAAAGCUCAGAAACAAAUCCAUGCAUUUACAACCAAUUGAUUUUCAAUAAAGUUGCCAAGAACACACAAUGGGAAAAUAAAUGGUGCUGGGAAAACUGGAUAUCCACAUGCAAAAGAAUGAAACUUGACCCUAUCUCUCAUGAUAUACAAAAAUCUACUCGAAAUAAUCUACUCUUAAAUAUAAGACUCAAACUAUAAAAUUAAUACAAAAAAGGGGGUGAACACUACAUGAUAUCAGUCUGGACAUGGAUUUUUUAGACAAGACCUCAAAAGAAAGAACAACAAAAACAAAAAUCAACAAAAACAAAAAUAAACAAAUAGGACAACAUCAAACUAAAAAAGUUCUGCACAGCAAAGGAAAAAAUCAACAGCAUGAAGAAGCAACCAUAGAAUGAGAGAAAACAUUUCCAUGUUAUAUACCUUACAAAGAGUUAAUACCCAGAAUUUAUAAGAACUCAACUCAAUGGCAAAAACAACUAAUUCAAUUUAAAAGUAGACAGAGCAAGACUCUGUCUCAAAAUAAAUAAAUAAAUAAAUAAAUAAAUAAAAGUAGACAAAAGACCUGUUUAGACAUAUCUUCAAAGAAGACAUACAAAUGGCCAACAAGUUUAUGAAAAAAUGCUCAACAUCAGCAACCAUCAGGAAAAUGCAAAUCAAAACCACAAUGUGAUAUCACCUCACCCCAGUUAAAAUAACUAUUACGAAAAAAAACAAAAAAUAACAAUGCUGUUGAGGAUAUGGAAAAAUGGGAACCCUUAUAGAUUGUUAGUGGGAAUGUAAAUUAAUACAGCCUUUAUGGAAAACAGUAGGACAUUCCUCAAAAAAUUAAAAUCAGAUCUACCGUAUCACCCAGCAGUCCCAUUACUGGGUAUAUAUCCAAAAGAAAUACAAUCAGUAUGUCAAAAAGAGAUCUCAUGUUUAUUGCAGGACUAUUCACAAUAUCCAAGAUGUGGAAUCAAAUUAAAGACCCACCAAUUAAUAAAUGGAUAAGGAAAAUGUGGUAUGUGUAUAUAUAUAUAUAUAUAUAUAUAUAUACACACACAAUGGAAUAUUAUUCAGCCACACAAAAUAAUAAAAUUGUGUCAUUGUGCAACAUGGAUAAGCCUGAAGGACAUUAUGUUAAGUAAAUUAAGCCAGGCACAGAAAGACAAAUGCCACAUGAUCCCAUUCAUAUGUAAUACCUAAAAAAAUUGAUCACAAAAAAGUUCAGAGUAGAAUAGUUGUUACCAGAGAGUUAGGAGAAUACAAGAAAAAGGGAGAUGGGGAGGGGCUGGUCAUUGGGUACAAUGUUACAGCUGGAUAAGAAUAAGAAGUUCCAUUACUUUAUAGCACAACAGGGUGACUGUAGCUAACAAUAAUGCAUUGUAUAUUUCAAAUAGCGAGGAAAGAGGUUUUUGAAUGUUCUUAUAACAAUGAAAUGGGCCAGGUGCAAUAUGAGAGGCUUGAGCGUUGCUUAAGGCAGAGUUCAAGAUCAGUCUGGGCAACAUAGCAAGCCCCCAUCUUAGGUUUGUUUGUAUGCACCUGUAGUCCCAGCCAUUCAGGAGGCUGAGGUGGGAGGAUCACUUGAGCCAGGAAGGUUGAGGCUACAAUGAGCUAUGAUCAUGCUGCCGCACCCCAGUCUGGGCAACAGAACUAGAUCCUAUCUCACAAACAAACAAACAAAGAUACAAUACAUGUUUAAAGUGAUGGAUAUGCUAAUUAUCACGAUUUUAUCAUUACACAACAUAUAUAUAUGGCAACAUUACGUUGUAAUACAUGUAAACAUGUGCAAUUAUUUUUUGUCAAAAAAGAAUAAAGAUGUGUUGUCAAAAACAUGUAAAAAUAAAUAAAAAUAUAAUCUACUAAGUAAAAAGACUUAAUUAAAAUUCAACAUACAUUCAUAAUUAAAAGCUCAAAUAAUGAAAUAGAGGAUAAUUUUCUCACCUUGAUACAAAGCAUCAGCUGAAAAGCUGCAACUAACAUUAUACUGACUGGGGAGAAUUGAUACUUUCUCCUCAAGAUCAGGUACAGAAACAGGAUGUUAAUUCUCACCACUUUUAGUCAACUUAGUGCUGGAAGUUCUGGUAAGUACAAUAGGGCAAGAUAAAGAAAGCUGAAAGACUACAGAUCAGGAUGUAAUAUAUAAAAUCAUCCCAUUUGCGGAAGGCACAAUUGUCUUCUACAUAGAAAAUUCCAAUGAAUCUACAAAAAUCUUGUACAAACUAACAACUAAUAACUAAUCAGCAAGGUCAUAGGACAAAAAAUAUGCAAAAAUUAAUUUUAAUUCUACAUAUUUGCAAUAAACACAUGAACCCCAACACUUAAAAUACAAUUAUAAUCCCUCAAAAAUAAAAAUGUAGGUAUAAAUCUAACAAAACAUUUACAGAAAUUAUAUAUUAAAAUUAUACAACACUAAUGUAUUAAUUUCCUUUUGCUGCUGUAACAAAUGACCACAAACAUAGUGGCUUAAACCAAUACAAGUUUAUCAGAACUCUAGAGAUCAUAUGUCUUAAAUACGUUUCAUGAGACCAAAAUCAAUGCAUUGGCAGGCAUGGAUUCCUUCUGGAAGCUCUUUGGGAGACUGCAUUUCUUCACCUUUUCCAGCUUCUAGGGGCUGCUUCCAUUCCUUGGCACGUGGCUCCAGCUAGCAGUUUCAUCACUCUGAUCUCUGCUUCCAUAGUCACAUCUACUUCUCUGUAUCCUCUGCCUCCCUUUUUCACUUAAAGAAACAUUACAAGUACAUUGGACCUACAAGAAUAAUACACGAUAAUCUCACUAUUUCUUUAUUUCUCUUCCUUCCUUCUUUCCUUCCUUCCUCUUUCUUUCUUUUUCUUUCUUUCUUUCUCUUUCUUUCUUUCUUUCUUUCUUUCUUUCUUUCUUUCUUUCUUUCUUCUUUCUCUCUCUCUCUUUCUUUCUUUCUUUUCUUUCUUUCUUUUCUCUCUUUCUUUCUCUUUCUCCCUUCUUUCUUUCCUUCCUUCCUUCCUUCCUUUCUUUCUUUUUUUCUUUUGACAGAGUCUUGCUCUUUUGCCCAGGUUGGAGUGCA